CCUGCGGAAGGAUCAUCAUCGUUUUAUCAAAAACCUAUUCGAAAGCAACUCGCUUUUGAAUACCUCUGUGAACCUAACAACUAAAAGGGAGGUGGACGCGCAAGCGUUCUUAAAUGGGUGGAUGGGCACAUCGAUCUCGGAGCUGAAAUAUCGCUUCAUUUCGCCAUUGCCCGGCCUCUCGAGUUUUAUACUCUUUUAUUUUUCACGUUUAACUUUGUGUCAAAAAAGUUACAAUAAGAUAACAUAACUUUUAACGGUGGAUCUCUUGGCUCGUGCAUCGAUGAAGAACGCAGCCAGCUGCGAUACGUAGUGUGAAUUGCAGAAUUCAGUGAAUCAUCGAAUCUUUGAACGCAAAUGGCGCUCUUGGCUAUACCGGGAGCAUGUCUGUCUGAGUGUUGGUUUACAAAACAUGAUUGUGUGUAUCAUCACGCGAUCGAUUGAGGCUGUCGCGUCGUUGUUUCCAGCAAACUAACGUGCGUCCCUCGAAGUGCAGCACGUUCGACGCUAUUGUCGUGCGAACAAGGCCCAAAGAACUUUGCCCUUGCGAGCACGACGUCUGUCGUUCGUCCCUUUAUCAUCUAUUAACCUCAGAUCAGGCAAGAUUACCCGCUGAAUUUAAGCAUAUUACUAAGCGGAGGAAAAGAAACUAACAAGGAUUCCCCCAGUAAUGGCGAAUGAAGAGGGAAUAGCUCAACUUGAA
RNAcentral lists this ribosomal RNA (700 nucleotides) under Leptogorgia virgulata. RNAcentral's name for it is "eukaryotic LSU rRNA". The stretch from base 246 to 398 matches the Rfam family "5.8S ribosomal RNA". Lineage: Eukaryota; Metazoa; Cnidaria; Anthozoa; Malacalcyonacea; Gorgoniidae. The record is from RNAcentral.